GAUGAACGCUGGCGGCGUGCCUAAUACAUGCAAGUCGAGCGAACAGACGAGGAGCUUGCUCCUCUGACGUUAGCGGCGGACGGGUGAUUAACACGUGGAUGACCUACCUAUAAGACUGGGAUAACUUCGGGAAACCGGAGCUAAUACCGGAUAAUAUAUUGAACCGCAUGGUUCAAUAGUGAAAGACGGUCUUGCUGUCACUUAUAGAUGGAUCCGCGCCGCAUUAGCUAGUUGGUAAGGUAACGGCUUACCAAGGCAACGAUGCGUAGCCGACCUGAGAGGGUGAUCGGCCACACUGGAACUGAGACACGGUCCAGACUCCUACGGGAGGCAGCAGUAGGGAAUCUUACGCAAUGGGCGAAAGCCUGACGGAGCAACGCCGCGUGAGUGAUGAAGGUCUUCGGAUCGUAAAACUCUGUUAUUAGGGAAGAACAAAUGUGUAAGUAACUAUGCACGUCUUGACGGUACCUAAUCAGAAAGCCACGGCUAACUACGUG
This 497-nucleotide ribosomal RNA is filed under the name uncultured bacterium. RNAcentral describes it as "partial 16S ribosomal RNA". It matches the Rfam family "Bacterial small subunit ribosomal RNA", at positions 28 to 507 of the family's 1533-position model. The record is from RNAcentral.